GGACUGAAUUUAACCUUACAGGGACCAACCCUGAUGUCUCUUCUUGCAUCAUAUCAGCUAAGGUGUUAUAAUAGCAACAGUGGACUAACCAAGCUAAUGUUUUUCAUUUUUGGAACAAGCCAGUGCAACUUGGGGGUAUUGUAUGAGUGCAUGCAAAGGGAAUAAACAAUACAUUACCGAUCUGCGGGAGACUGAGAAAGCAGUAAUUACCAUGACAACAUGAUGGAACGGUAUACUCAACAGGAGCAUGAGUGUGUGUGCAUGCAUGCACUUCUCUUAGAUGCCCGACAGCACUCGGAAAAACAACAGGCACCACCCUAGUAAAGCACAACACUACAGCAGUACCAAGACAUCCAACCUCGCAGCAUUCAAAAGGCCAUCAUCCUCCUCCUCCCUCUGGACACAAACAUGACAUCUGUACAGUUAAAUUGAAUCAGGAGCCAGGCUCAGAAUGGCAAAAGCCAGAGAAGAGGGUUUGGAUGGGGGUUUGGGGUAGGGUGGAGUGGGGGGAUGCAAUCCAUAUCGGUUUCAUCCCCAGGAUAUCUGCAUAAUUGGGAGCUGACAUGAACCAAAUGAAAUGACAUGGCUGCCAGGCAACAGCGGAGCCCUCGUUGCGUUCCGGCGACAGCUGCACAUUGUCUCAUGGCAGGGACUAAAAUGGUAGGUGCAAACAAAUACACACCACACAUUUGCAAACAGACACACACAUAUGUUUAGUCAUACUCUCUCUCUCUCCCUCUCGCUCACAUACACAUACACACACACACCUUGCUUGAGGACAUGGCUGAUCUAUCUUGCGUGUACUUCUUCUGCCUCAAAUAAAAAAAGAAGAAGUGGAAAGGGAUGUGGUAACAUACAUCUUUCUGAAAUACAGAACAGUAUUUUCCUGGCCUGCCUGUAUUUAACUGUGUACAGUAUAAUAUGUCCAUACACAU
Long non-coding RNA from Clupea harengus (Atlantic herring), 935 nucleotides. RefSeq lists it as uncharacterized. The record is from RefSeq and is a predicted model, not a curated record. Lineage: Eukaryota; Metazoa; Chordata; Actinopteri; Clupeiformes; Clupeidae.